This 218-nucleotide unclassified non-coding RNA is filed under the name plant metagenome. RNAcentral's name for it is "partial contains small subunit ribosomal RNA, internal transcribed spacer 1, and 5.8S ribosomal RNA". The record is from RNAcentral.
GGAAGUAAAAAGUCGUAACAAGGGCUCCGUUGGUGAACCAGCGGAGGGAUCAUUACCGAGUUUACAACUCCCAAACCCCUGUGAACAUACCAUUCGUUGCCUCGGCGGUGCCUGCUUCGGCAGCCCGCCAGAGGACCCAAACCCUUGAUUUUAUACAGUAUCUUCUGAGUAAAUGAUUAAAUAAAUCAAAACUUUCAACAACGGAUCUCUUGGUUCUC